Molecule: RNA transcript, 2719 nt
Organism: Ctenopharyngodon idella (grass carp)
Lineage: Eukaryota; Metazoa; Chordata; Actinopteri; Cypriniformes; Xenocyprididae
Gene name: gastrula zinc finger protein XlCGF8.2DB-like
Exons: 4
Source: RefSeq, a predicted model, not a curated record
GUGAUGUCAUAAGGCUGCGCCGCGCUCCCGCAUCUGUUGUGAUUCGGCUGAAGAAAGAGAAAAGCUCCUGGUGAAGCGACUGAGAGCCACGUGACACACUAUUAUAAAUAUGGAGUUUAUUAAAGAGGAGAGUGAAGACAUGAAGAUCGAAGAAGCAUUCAGUGUGAAACAAGAAGAAACUGAGGAACAAACAGACCUGAUGGCACUGAAAGAGGAGAGUGAAGUACUGAAUGAAAUGGAAGAGAAAGAUCAAUAUAAAAAUCAUCAUGAUUUCAUUAUUGAAGAAAAACCUUGUAGUUGCUCACAUUCUGAAAACACUUCCUCACAAAAAAUGGCUCAAAAAACAGGGACUAGAAGUGAUUUUGUCUACAAAAAGUGUGGAAAUGGAUUCAAUCAAAACAGAAGCUUUCACACGCACAUGAAAAUUCACACUGAGAAGCCUUACACGUGCCCUCAGUGUGGAAAGAGUUUUUAUCAUAGAGGACACUUUGAAGACCACAUGGUAGUUCACACUGGAGAGAAGCCUUUCACCUGCCAACAGUGUGGAAAACGUUUUACCCGAAAAGGAAGUCUUAAUUACCACAUGAAACUUCACACUGGAGAGAGCCCCUUCACUUGCCAACAGUGUGGAAAUAGUUUCACCCGAAAAGGAAUUCUUAAUUACCACAUGAGAAUCCACACCGGAGAGAAGCCUUACACCUGCCAACAGUGUGGAAAAAGUUUCACGCAAAAAGGAACUCUUAAUUACCACAUGAUAAUUCACACUGCAGAGAAGCCUUUCACCUGCCAACAGUGUGGAAAAAGUUUCACCCGAAAAGAAAGUCUUAAUUAUCACAUGAAAAUUCACACUGCAGAGAAGCCUUCCACCUGCCAACAGUGUGGAAAAAGUUUCAACCGAAAAGAAAGUCUUAAUUACCACAUGAGAAUUCACACUGGAGAGAGCCUUUUUACCUGUCAACAGUGUGGAAAGAGUUUCAUUAGAGAAGGAAACUUUAAAGUCCACAUGAGAAUUCACACUGGAGAGAAGCCUUUCACCUGCCAACAGUGUGGAAAAUGUUUCAACCAAAAAGGAAGCCUUAACAGGCACAUGGAAAUUCACACUGGAGAGAAGCCAUUUAUAUAUGGUCAAGGUGGAAAGAGUUUCAAAUAUAAAAUAAAAACUUGAAUACCACAUGAGGAUUCAUGUAUGAAUGUCUGGAUGACAUUACAAUCAAUUAAUAAGUUUGUCCUGUAAACACACAUAAUUGAUUAUUAAGUAAUUCUAAGAAGAGUAUAUUUUUCAUGGCCACAGAAAAAAAAAUCUUUCUUAGCAUUUACAGCGCUUAGAGCGUGUAACAAGAUCGAGAUCAUUUAAGUGACAGUUAUUUGCAGGCAGGGAGUCAGAAACAAAUAUGUAUUGUGCACAAAUUUUAUUAACUAAAUCACAAACACAACUAAUCUAUCAAACACAGACACACAAUCACACAUACAUAGGUAAAAUGGAAGAAAGUGACAAAAUGAAGCCGAAAAUGGGAACAGGGAAUGAAGCUAUGGAAAAAGAGUCAUUAAACCAGGAAAAGAACCAUCAGUUUAUCAUUUCAAAACACCUCAUUGAAUGUACGGUACUUGCAUGGCCGUUGUGGUGGAAGCUGUUUGUGAAGGCUCAUGAUGGUUCCAUGAGUUUCAUUCGAUUUCUUCUGUGUCGAAUGAAGAAGUUGUGAUGAACUUGCAUGCUAAGUUCAAAUCUGUUCUGGUUGAGAGAGAAAGAGUUCUCUCUCUCCAUGAGUAAGCACAUGGCUGGUUGUAGAUCGAGGCCUGUCGUUGCGGCCGCACACAGAACGGCAAACAGAAGAUGCAGAGGAGGAAGAGCUGAUGGUUGCCUGUUCAGUAAUUGUAAAGUUGCCAUUUUCUUCUGAGUUGGAAUGAAGGAAUUACAGUCUGACUCUGUUGAGAGAGUCCUCUCUCCCGAGUGAAGACAUAGCAGGUUUGGUCCAGGCCUGCCAGUUGCCCAUGGGCCCCAUUUGUAUGUGUUGAACUCCAUCAUACCUCCGGUCUAAAAUGAACACUACACACCACCGUGUUUUUCAAAGCAGAAGUGAAGUCCUGUCUCUUCACCUGCACAAAACGCACCCAGGCAUGGAAGAUAGCACCUUCCUUUUUCAUGUUACCUCUGGACUUGAUGUCCUGACAGGCUGGAGUUCAUGCAGUCUCCACAAACAUAAUAAUUUACCAUGAUGAUAAAUUGAAAUACAAAAACUACCAAAAACACACUGACCCAUGACCACUCCUACUGAAUACCAACCUACUCUGCACUGAGUCAACGCAGAGCCUGGCAAACAAUUCCCUCUUGUGACAUAAAAUGAUGCGAUGUUGAGAAAAACACAAACAGUCAAAGAAAAUUUUAACUUAAAAAACAUUAACUUUUCAUAUGGUAUUUUCGUACAAGGCUAUAUAUUUAGUUCUGAAUUUUUUUUAACUUGCAAUAUGCUCUAACAGCUGAAAAGCAGCAUGACCCUCUCAUUAGUUGGUGUCAGGAAGCCUGUUGAUCAGAGCGUUGGACUGUUCUUUACUAAGUUUUCAAAGUUACAUACUUUGAUGUCAUAAGUAAAUAGUAUGCAGUGUUAUGGAUUUGCAGUAUGUUUGUAAAAAGAAUGGUUUACAUUAUCUUACCAUCACCAGAAUAUGAUUUAGUGUACAUAAUUCACUUGACAACUGGAAAUAAAUUGAUUACAAACUCGUA